UGAGGAAUAUUGGGCAAUGGGCGCAAGCCUGACCCAGCAACGCCGCGUGAAGGACGAAGGCCUUCGGGUUGUAAACUUCUUUUUGGGGGGAAAGGAGAGGAUGGUACCCCCAGAAUAAGUCACGGCUAACUACGUGCCAGCAGCCGCGGUAAUACGUAGGUGACGAGCGUUAUCCGGAAUUACUGGGCGUAAAGCGCACGCAAGCGGUCUAACAAGUCUGGCGUGAAAUCCUCUGGCUUAACCAGGGGCGGUCGCUGGAGACUGUUAGACUUGAGGCGAUGAGAGGGGUGCAGAAUUCCCGGUGUAGUGGUGGAAUGCGUAGAUAUCGGGAGGAAUACCAGUGGCGAAAGCGGCACCCUGGCGUCGUACUGACGCACAUGUGCGAAAGCGUGGGGAGCGAACGGGAUUAGAUACCCCGGUAGUCCACGCGGUAAACGAUGAACACUAGGUGUGGGUGGAGUCAAUCUGUCCGUGCCAAAGCCAACGCGUUAAGUGUUCCGCCUGGGAAGUACGGCCG
This 517-nucleotide ribosomal RNA is filed under the name uncultured Chloroflexota bacterium. RNAcentral describes it as "bacterial SSU rRNA". It matches the Rfam family "Bacterial small subunit ribosomal RNA", at positions 355 to 888 of the family's 1533-position model. Lineage: Bacteria; Bacillati; Chloroflexota. The record is from RNAcentral.